GUGGGGAAUAUUGGACAAUGGGCGCAAGCCUGAUCCAGCCAUGCCGCGUGUGUGAAGAAGGCCUUCGGGUUGUAAAGCACUUUUGUCCGGGAAGAAAUCUUCCAGGUUAAUACCCUGGGAGGCUGACGGUACCGGAAGAAUAAGCACCGGCUAACUUCGUGCCAGCAGCCGCGGUAAUACGAAGGGUGCAAGCGUUACUCGGAAUUACUGGGCGUAAAGCGUGCGUAGGUGGUUCGUUAAGUCUGCCGUGAAAGCCCCGGGCUCAACCUGGGAAUGGGGGUGGAUACUGGCGGGCUAGAGUGCGGUAGAGGGUGGUGGAAUUCCCGGUGUAGCAGUGAAAUGCGUAGAGAUCGGGAGGAACAUCUGUGGCGAAGGCGGCCACCUGGACCAGCACUGACACUGAGGCACGAAAGCGUGGGGAGCAAACAGGAUUAGAUACCCCUGUAGUCC
Molecule: ribosomal RNA, 450 nt
Filed under: uncultured bacterium
Lineage: Bacteria
Description: partial 16S ribosomal RNA
Rfam family: Bacterial small subunit ribosomal RNA
Source: RNAcentral